Molecule: transfer RNA, 68 nt
Filed under: Diploderma splendidum
Lineage: Eukaryota; Metazoa; Chordata; Lepidosauria; Squamata; Agamidae
Description: tRNA-Pro
Source: RNAcentral
CAAAAGAUAGUUUAAAAUAAAACACUGGCCCUGGAUCCCAGCAAUAGACUUAUAAGUCCUUCUUUUGA